GGACAGGUGGCAGAGUGGUCGAAUGCAGCGGUCUUGAAAACCGCCGAGGGUGCAAGCUCUCCGUGGGUUCGAAUCCCACCCUGUCCG
This 87-nucleotide transfer RNA is filed under the name Sphingorhabdus sp. SMR4y. It matches the Rfam family "tRNA". From Rfam's summary of the family: Transfer RNA (tRNA) molecules are approximately 80 nucleotides in length. Their secondary structure includes four short double-helical elements and three loops (D, anti-codon, and T loops). Lineage: Bacteria; Pseudomonadati; Pseudomonadota; Alphaproteobacteria; Sphingomonadales; Sphingorhabdaceae. The record is from Rfam by way of RNAcentral.